Molecule: transfer RNA, 72 nt
Filed under: Ardenticatenales bacterium
Lineage: Bacteria; Bacillati; Chloroflexota; Ardenticatenia; Ardenticatenales
Description: tRNA-Lys
Rfam family: tRNA
About the family: Transfer RNA (tRNA) molecules are approximately 80 nucleotides in length. Their secondary structure includes four short double-helical elements and three loops (D, anti-codon, and T loops).
Source: RNAcentral
GACUCGCUAGCUCAAUGGUAGAGCAUCGCACUUUUAAUGCGAGGGUUCAGGGUUCGAGCCCCUGGCGAGUCA